AGCGUACACGGUGGAUGCCCUGGCAGUCAGAGGCGAUGAAGGACGUGCUAAUCUGCGAUAAGCGUCGGUGAGGUGAUAUGAACCGUUAUAACCGGCGAUUUCCGAAUGGGGAAACCCAGUGUGUUUCGACACACUAUCAUUAACUGAAUCCAUAGGUUAAUGAGGCGAACCGGGGGAACUGAAACAUCUAAGUACCCCGAGGAAAAGAAAUCAACCGAGAUUCCCCCAGUAGCGGCGAGCGAACGGGGAGGAGCCCAGAGCCUGAAUCAGUGUGUGUGUUAGUGGAAGCGUCUGGAAAGGCGUGCGAUACAGGGUGACAGCCCCGUACACAAAAAUGCACAUACUGUGAGCUCGAUGAGUAGGGCGGGACACGUGGUAUCCUGUCUGAAUAUGGGGGGACCAUCCUCCAAGGCUAAAUACUCCUGACUGACCGAUAGUGAACCAGUACCGUGAGGGAAAGGCGAAAAGAACCCCGGCGAGGGGAGUGAAAAAGAACCUGAAACCGUGUACGUACAAGCAGUGGGAGCCUCUUAAUGGGGUGACUGCGUACCUUUUGUAUAAUGGGUCAGCGACUUAUAUUCUGUAGCAAGGUUAACCGAAUAGGGGAGCCGAAGGGAAACCGAGUCUUAACUGGGCGUUAAGUUGCAGGGUAUAGACCCGAAACCCGGUGAUCUAGCCAUGGGCAGGUUGAAGGUUGGGUAACACUAACUGGAGGACCGAACCGACUAAUGUUGAAAAAUUAGCGGAUGACUUGUGGCUGGGGGUGAAAGGCCAAUCAAACCGGGAGAUAGCUGGUUCUCCCCGAAAGCUAUUUAGGUAGCGCCUCGUGAAUUCAUCUCCGGGGGUAGAGCACUGUUUCGGCAAGGGGGUCAUCCCGACUUACCAACCCGAUGCAAACUGCGAAUACCGGAGAAUGUUAUCACGGGAGACACACGGCGGGUGCUAACGUCCGUCGUGAAGAGGGAAACAACCCAGACCGCCAGCUAAGGUCCCAAAGUCAUGGUUAAGUGGGAAACGAUGUGGGAAGGCCCAGACAGCCAGGAUGUUGGCUUAGAAGCAGCCAUCAUUUAAAGAAAGCGUAAUAGCUCACUGGUCGAGUCGGCCUGCGCGGAAGAUGUAACGGGGCUAAACCAUGCACCGAAGCUGCGGCAGCGACGCUUAUGCGUUGUUGGGUAGGGGAGCGUUCUGUAAGCCUGUGAAGGUGUGCUGUGAGGCAUGCUGGAGGUAUCAGAAGUGCGAAUGCUGACAUAAGUAACGAUAAAGCGGGUGAAAAGCCCGCUCGCCGGAAGACCAAGGGUUCCUGUCCAACGUUAAUCGGGGCAGGGUGAGUCGACCCCUAAGGCGAGGCCGAAAGGCGUAGUCGAUGGGAAACAGGUUAAUAUUCCUGUACUUGGUGUUACUGCGAAGGGGGGACGGAGAAGGCUAUGUUGGCCGGGCGACGGUUGUCCCGGUUUAAGCGUGUAGGCUGGUUUUCCAGGCAAAUCCGGAAAACCAAGGCUGAGGCGUGAUGACGAGGCACUACGGUGCUGAAGCGACAAAUGCCCUGCUUCCAGGAAAAGCCUCUAAGCAUCAGGUAACAUCAAAUCGUACCCCAAACCGACACAGGUGGUCAGGUAGAGAAUACCAAGGCGCUUGAGAGAACUCGGGUGAAGGAACUAGGCAAAAUGGUGCCGUAACUUCGGGAGAAGGCACGCUGAUAUGUAGGUGAAGCGACUUGCUCGUGGAGCUGAAAUCAGUCGAAGAUACCAGCUGGCUGCAACUGUUUAUUAAAAACACAGCACUGUGCAAACACGAAAGUGGACGUAUACGGUGUGACGCCUGCCCGGUGCCGGAAGGUUAAUUGAUGGGGUUAGCGGCAACGCGAAGCUCUUGAUCGAAGCCCCGGUAAACGGCGGCCGUAACUAUAACGGUCCUAAGGUAGCGAAAUUCCUUGUCGGGUAAGUUCCGACCUGCACGAAUGGCGUAAUGAUGGCCAGGCUGUCUCCACCCGAGACUCAGUGAAAUUGAACUCGCUGUGAAGAUGCAGUGUACCCGCGGCAAGACGGAAAGACCCCGUGAACCUUUACUAUAGCUUGACACUGAACAUUGAGCCUUGAUGUGUAGGAUAGGUGGGAGGCUUUGAAGUGUGGACGCCAGUCUGCAUGGAGCCGACCUUGAAAUACCACCCUUUAAUGUUUGAUGUUCUAACGUUGGCCCGUAAUCCGGGUUGCGGACAGUGUCUGGUGGGUAGUUUGACUGGGGCGGUCUCCUCCUAAAGAGUAACGGAGGAGCACGAAGGUUGGCUAAUCCUGGUCGGACAUCAGGAGGUUAGUGCAAUGGCAUAAGCCAGCUUGACUGCGAGCGUGACGGCGCGAGCAGGUGCGAAAGCAGGUCAUAGUGAUCCGGUGGUUCUGAAUGGAAGGGCCAUCGCUCAACGGAUAAAAGGUACUCCGGGGAUAACAGGCUGAUACCGCCCAAGAGUUCAUAUCGACGGCGGUGUUUGGCACCUCGAUGUCGGCUCAUCACAUCCUGGGGCUGAAGUAGGUCCCAAGGGUAUGGCUGUUCGCCAUUUAAAGUGGUACGCGAGCUGGGUUUAGAACGUCGUGAGACAGUUCGGUCCCUAUCUGCCGUGGGCGCUGGAGAACUGAGGGGGGCUGCUCCUAGUACGAGAGGACCGGAGUGGACGCAUCACUGGUGUUCGGGUUGUCAUGCCAAUGGCACUGCCCGGUAGCUAAAUGCGGAAGAGAUAAGUGCUGAAAGCAUCUAAGCACGAAACUUGCCCCGAGAUGAGUUCU
This 2774-nucleotide ribosomal RNA is filed under the name Escherichia coli. RNAcentral describes it as "bacterial LSU rRNA". It matches the Rfam family "Bacterial large subunit ribosomal RNA". Lineage: Bacteria; Pseudomonadati; Pseudomonadota; Gammaproteobacteria; Enterobacterales; Enterobacteriaceae. The record is from RNAcentral.